Rhineura floridana is the source of this 530-nucleotide long non-coding RNA. RefSeq lists it as uncharacterized. Lineage: Eukaryota; Metazoa; Chordata; Lepidosauria; Squamata; Rhineuridae. The transcript has 3 exons. The record is from RefSeq and is a predicted model, not a curated record.
AAUGGUACAGUGAAGGCCAGCCCUGUCCUGAACCCUGAUUGGUUAUGGGCACACAAGAUAACUGCCCUCUCUUACUAAUCUUGAAUUGGUCAGGCUCAUUGGUCAGGCUUUACUUUAAAUGGCUUUCCAUUGCUAAACAUUUUCUGGCAGUUGAAGAAAAAGGCUUCUAAGCAUUGGACUACGUUUUGGGAUCAUUCAGAUUCAGUAUAGCUGGAGACUGGUUUGACCAUGGACUCUCCAUUGUGGAGUCCCCCAGGGGUCGGUCUUGUCCCCCAUGCUUUUCAACAUCUACAUGCAACCGCUGGGUGCGGUCAUCAGGAGUUUUGGAGUGCGUUGCCAUCAAUAUGCUGAUGAUACUCAGCUCUAUUUCUCCUUUUCAUCUUCUUCAGGGCACUCCAAGAGAAGUUGCAUAUCUACACUUGAGGAGUGUAAAUAAUUUAAACGAACAAUGUCAGCUCCCAUCAUCCCUUCACGUUGGCCAUGCUGGCUGGGGCUGAUAGGUGUUUGAAGAUAUUUGGAAAAAUAUUUGG